UACGGAGGGUGCGAGCGUUGUCCGGAAUCACUGGGCGUAAAGGGCGCGUAGGCGGCGCGGGUAGUCAUCGGUGAAAGUUCAGGGCUCAACUCUGAAUCGGCCGGUGAUACUCCCGUGCUCGAGCACUGUAGAGGCAGGUGGAAUUCCGGGUGUAGCGGUGGAAUGCGUAGAGAUCCGGAGGAACACAGUGGCGAAGGCGACUUCCUGGCUGUUCUUGACCGCUGGAGGCGCGAAAGCGUAGGG
RNAcentral lists this ribosomal RNA (243 nucleotides) under uncultured bacterium. Its description in RNAcentral is "partial 16S ribosomal RNA". It matches the Rfam family "Bacterial small subunit ribosomal RNA", at positions 524 to 766 of the family's 1533-position model. The record is from RNAcentral.